AGUGAGCGCUGGCGGUAGGCCUAACACAUGCAAGUCGAACGGCAGCACAGUAAGAGCUUGCUCUUACGGGUGGCGAGUGGCGGACGGGUGAGGAAUACAUCGGAAUCUACUUUUUCGUGGGGGAUAACGUAGGGAAACUUACGCUAAUACCGCAUACGACCUACGGGUGAAAGCAGGGGAUCUUCGGACCUUGCGCGAUUGAAUGAGCCGAUGUCGGAUUAGCUAGUUGGCGGGGUAAAGGCCCACCAAGGCGACGAUCCGUAGCUGGUCUGAGAGGAUGAUCAGCCACACUGGAACUGAGACACGGUCCAGACUCCUACGGGAGGCAGCAGUGGGGAAUAUUGGACAAUGGGCGCAAGCCUGAUCCAGCCAUACCGCGUGGGUGAAGAAGGCCUUUGGGUUGUAAAGCCCUUUUGUUGGGAAAGAAAGGCAGCAGGUUAAUACCCCGCUGUUCUGACGGUACCCAAAGAAUAAGCACCGGCUAACUUCGUG
This 492-nucleotide ribosomal RNA is filed under the name uncultured bacterium. RNAcentral's name for it is "partial 16S ribosomal RNA". It matches the Rfam family "Bacterial small subunit ribosomal RNA", at positions 29 to 507 of the family's 1533-position model. The record is from RNAcentral.